CCUACGGGGGGCAGCAGUGGGGAAUAUUGGGCAAUGGGCGCAAGCCUGACGCAGCAACGCCGCGUGAAGGAAGAAGGCUUUCGGGUUGUAAACUUCUUUUAAGGGGGAAGAGCAGAAGACGGUACCCCUUGAAUAAGCCACGGCUAACUACGUGCCAGCAGCCGCGGUAAUACGGAGGUGGCAAGCGUUGUCCGGAUUUACUGGGUGUAAAGGGCGUGCAGCCGGGGAGACAAGUCAGAUGUGAAAUCCACGGGCUCAACCCGUGAACUGCAUUUGAAACUGUUUCCCUUGAGUGUCGGAGAGGUAAUCGGAAUUCCUUGUGUAGCGGUGAAAUGCGUAGAUAUAAGGAAGAACACCAGUGGCGAAGGCGGAUUACUGGACGAUAACUGACGGUGAGGCGCGAAAGCGUGGGGAGCAAACAGGAUUAGAUACCCCUGUAGUC
Molecule: ribosomal RNA, 442 nt
Filed under: uncultured bacterium
Lineage: Bacteria
Description: partial 16S ribosomal RNA
Rfam family: Bacterial small subunit ribosomal RNA
Source: RNAcentral